GCCCGCGGCGGUCUUUGUCCCGUGGCCUAGCGGCUUUCCGAGCCUCUCCUCUUGGUCGUCUUGCGGUGCUUGGUGUCGUCGGUGAGGCCGCGUGCCAGGAAGGUUCGGACGCAAGGAGGGCGUUAAAGGACAGGUGUGGCCCGGCCUCCGAGGGGCCUCCUUAAAGAGGCCGGGUCCCCUCCGCUCGCCCCCUUCGCGGCCGCUGGCGCCCGCGUUGGGCCGGCCGAGAGGAGCGGUGAGGGCGCACCUGCGAAGUGUUUUCGGCCACGGUGCCUCCUUGUUCAAACUCCUCCUAAGUAACCGUUGUGACUCUUCUCCAGGAGGAUGAGAAUUUCCGCUGGGCAAGUCAGGUUGGCCCGGCCCUGCGGUGGUCACCGCCCUGUCGCUCCUGGCUGUCCCGAGCCAACGUAUGACGACUGAUGACUGAUAACAUUUACUGAUUAAUGGUAAAUACAAAACACGACUCCAGAUUACCCGGUGUCCAUGGGGAUGGCUGUCUGUACUUGUAUUCAUAAGAUACGCUGAAAUGGUCUUGGUGUCAGAGAAAGGAAUGUCGGAUGAUAUGGAAGAUGGAGGUGUGCUUUUCUCAAAGAAUUGAUCCAUUCACGACCAUUUAUCAGGUGUCUACAGUGUGUUCGGGCAUGUGCUGCAUUAGAGGGAAAUAAGAAAAGAGCUCCGAGUCCAGGUGUGGUGAGACAAGGUCAUGUUUAAGAGUUUCCAUUGAAGCCAUGUGACUGGAUGAACAUUGAUGAUGUUCCUUGAUCCAGGCCAUUACAUGUGUGGUGAUUUAGGAUUCAGUGACCUUUGGUGACGUGCCUGUGGACUUCACCUUGGAGGAAUGGACUUUUCUGGACCCCUCUUAGAGAACCUUAUGCAGAGAUGCAGUACUGGAUGGAGAACUCCCAGAACCUGAGUACGGUUAUCAACUCUUUAAACACACUUUUAUCUCAUGGUUGGAGCAAGAAGAGUUGAGGACAAUGGAGAGAGGUAUUCCUCAGGGUGAGUGUGAAGAACAUCCCUCAUCAAUGAGAAGUUCAGUAUGUUUGGAAAUGUAACAAGAGGCUUCUUACGAGGAAACAGAACAAAUCUUUUGGGGUGUUCCAGGAGCCCUCUGGAAAAAUGCCAGGCUGGAGGCCCAAACCCUGGAGGUAGUUUAUUGUUUCAACCAAAGAGCAAAUGCUGAGACCCAUAUCCAAGUAGUUAUCUGCUGGGAAAGGAUACCCCAGGCCCACAUCCCAAAUGGCAUCACCCGUGCACAGAAUCUCAUUGCUGGCAGGGAUACUGGCCUAAGAUGACAUCACUCCCUCCGAAGAUCUCCUGAAUAGAAAUGACUUCACCCAGUUCAUGAGCUUCUGCACCAGCAAUAUCCGUGGCUGACCCUCCUAAUGCAGAAAGUAGACAAAGGACAAUUUUGCUGAUCUUCUUUUGAUAUUCUGUUUUGUUCCUGAGCUGCUUGCAGUCUGCUUAGCCCAUUAUCCAGGCAUAACUGCAUUCUGCCAAAAC
Prionailurus viverrinus (fishing cat) is the source of this 1503-nucleotide long non-coding RNA. RefSeq lists it as uncharacterized. The record is from RefSeq and is a predicted model, not a curated record. The transcript has 7 exons. Lineage: Eukaryota; Metazoa; Chordata; Mammalia; Carnivora; Felidae.